GGUGAAGGAGCUUGUUAUUUUUAAUCUGCGAUGUGGUUGUGUUUGGCCAAAGAAACUUGUGUAGCCUUAGGUUUCACUUUGACAACUUAGUUUUUGUUCUUUGGUUCGAGGCCGCAGGAAGGUGACGAUGGGCAGCUCAGGCCCGUAAUCGGCUCACUUGAAGACUACCUAACCCUAAAUGUAGACAUCAUUUGAGCUUUGUACAUCAACUUUCCACAUAGAUCGUUGAUUUUGUGUUGCUUAGAUUUACUGGAAGCCUUGCUUUAUUUUUCUAGGACUUCUUAGGGGCGACACUUUUUGUUUCUUCCUUUCUGUUUGAGACCCCUUGGUGGAGGAGCUUGUUGUUCUACCUUUCUAUUUGAGAUUCCGACGAUCCUCUUCCAUACAAUAAUGAAGGUUGGCGACGCAGUUUGUUCAGUUGCCUCCCCUGCUUUCCUUUUUGUUCUAUUAGCUAGUGUUGUUGGAGUCCUAGGCCUUUGGACCAGUUUGUAUUAUCGAGCUAAUUUUUUUAGCCUCCUGUUAAUUUUGUAAACCUAUGAUCAUAUGAUCCUCCCUAUAAUGGGAUUAAGCCUAGGGUUUUAACCAUGGAUGUAUUGGGUGGUUAAAGCCCUUUCUAUUAAUGAAAUUAAC
Molecule: unclassified non-coding RNA, 630 nt
Filed under: Hevea brasiliensis (rubber tree)
Lineage: Eukaryota; Viridiplantae; Streptophyta; Magnoliopsida; Malpighiales; Euphorbiaceae
Source: RNAcentral